AACACUUUUAUUUUACGACAACCUCAGAUGCUCAUGAACUACAGGCCAAAUGUCAAGGUAUUUACUCAUGGAGUUAGAUCCCACUGAGCAUUAGCUGGCAUCCUGCGUCAGAGGGUUGCUUGCAAAAGCUGAAGGCAUGCCACGACCGCUUGAGAUCUCCAGCACCUUGCAAAGCCAUGUGGGUGUUCAGGGUACUGUGAUUAAUCCUAGGAGCACGAACAAAAAGGGGAAAAAAAGAACAGAUUUGGCCCAUAAUCAGAGAGCCAGUUAGGUGCACACAGCUGUGCACAAUACAGAUUGCAGGGUGUCACUGCUGCUAUUGAAUUCAAUAGAAAACUGCUUACUGGCCUAACAAGGACAGAUUUAAUCCUAGACCCUGAAAUAUCUCCACAAACCAGGUCGCAACUGCUUUUUGUGUCCUGGGAAAUGAGAGCAAUUCUUUCUAUCAUAUUCAGAAAGAAAAUGAAAAGUUUUGCAGAACUCCUCACUCACAGGAAGAUCCGUGGGGUUACACCCCUGGCCCACGUCUCUCCGCUUGUGAAACACGGAGGAAGGAGCUUAUUGACAUGUUCCUUCCCUGGAGCCCCACCUCAGCAGCACGGCUCACCUGGCCAAAGUCUGCAGCAAAGACUCCGUGCAGGAAGGAGAACUUGGUGCCACUGACUCACUUGGUGUCUUCUGCCUUUUCAGCAUCUUCCGAGAGGCUUGGUUCUGCUUCUAAGUCUAUGAAAUUAUGGUCUUUUCCUACUAAAAAAUAAUCCUCUCCACCCAUCCAAAUACUGAGCCCACUAAAAUAUCCUCAGCUAUUUCUCUAAGCGCAUCAAUUUUUUUUCUAACACAAAAUAAAUAUAUUUUCAAAAUCA
RNAcentral lists this long non-coding RNA (863 nucleotides) under Junco hyemalis (dark-eyed junco). RNAcentral describes it as "lncRNA (ENSJHYG00000013632.1)". Lineage: Eukaryota; Metazoa; Chordata; Aves; Passeriformes; Passerellidae. The record is from RNAcentral.